Molecule: long non-coding RNA, 874 nt
Organism: Scophthalmus maximus (turbot)
Lineage: Eukaryota; Metazoa; Chordata; Actinopteri; Pleuronectiformes; Scophthalmidae
Exons: 5
Source: RefSeq, a predicted model, not a curated record
CUGUGUACCCCCGCCCCAACUGUUACCCUCGAGUCAACUGUUUCCAUCCCCAAUCUUUGCACUUCUGGGACCGGCAUAAGCCCCGUCUGUAUGAAUGCUGGACAGCGAGUCGUCCGGACAUAAAUCCUUCAAAGCAAUGCAAACAGUGGGGUUGAUGAAUGCAGUUUUUCCACCUCAGAGACAGCCUUUGGUUUCAGUUCAUUUCCAAGUGCUGCGACAAUCAACAUCAAGAGACCUGCCCGAGAAAGAGCGUCACUGUAUCUGCAGAUACAUUUGACAAGUUAAUACAUUUUGUUGUGAGGCAGAAAUCCCAGAUCUGUCUUGGAGUGGAAAUUGACUGCGCUACAGAUAUGAAGCAGCCGAGAGCCUUCUGCUGUUUUACAUAGAGAACCAAGGCUUUGAUGUCCCCCAAUGAAUUGUGCAGUAAUAACUCUCUCAUCAGAAGAGAUAAGAUCCGCACAUCGCAGAGACAACCCAACAAAAACACAGGCCUGUGUUGAGUGUGUACUGUAUAAUGGGUGUGACACUCUACCUUAGUCCAGCUCUGAGGUCACUGCCGCGGUUUCCUACGAGUACUGUGCGCGUACCUGUGUGGCGGAGGAGUAGCGGGCCGUGGAUCGAGACGUGGCCGCCUUGGCCGAACUGUGGGAGCCCUCCGAGGGCAGCGCGCCGCAGCACUGGGACUGACGGAAACAUUUGCUGUACUCUUUGCGGACCUGCAGGGGAAAAGGAGAUCAGGAAAGACUGAGCACACACACACACACACACACACAGCGACCCUCUCUAACCCACGAGAGACACAAAUCUCUAUCAAAUGCCAGCUGACAGCAGCUUAAAUGCCAUAUCACUGAGGACAGGGAUAAAAAAAACAAUA